Molecule: ribosomal RNA, 253 nt
Filed under: uncultured bacterium
Lineage: Bacteria
Description: partial 16S ribosomal RNA
Rfam family: Bacterial small subunit ribosomal RNA
Source: RNAcentral
UACGGAGGGUGCGAGCAUUAAUCGGAUUUAUUGGGCGUAAAGGGCGCGUAGGCGGAGAUGUAAGUCAGAUGUGAAAUCCCGGGGCUCAACCCCGGAACAGCAUUUGAUACUGCACCUCUCGAGGGUAGGCGGAGAAAAUGGAAUUCCACAAGUAGCGGUGAAAUGCGUAGAUAUGUGGAAGAACACCGGUGGCGAAGGCGAUUUUCUAGCUUAUACCUGACGCUGAAGCGCGAAAGCAAGGGGAUCAAACAGG